GGCGUUGUAGAUCAAUCGGAAGAUCGCCGGGCUUUCAAUCCGGAGGUUGCGGGUUCGAACCCCGUCGGCGUCA
This 73-nucleotide transfer RNA is filed under the name Algisphaera agarilytica. It matches the Rfam family "tRNA". From Rfam's summary of the family: Transfer RNA (tRNA) molecules are approximately 80 nucleotides in length. Their secondary structure includes four short double-helical elements and three loops (D, anti-codon, and T loops). Further hydrogen bonds mediate the characteristic L-shaped molecular structure. tRNAs have two regions of fundamental functional importance: the anti-codon, which is responsible for specific mRNA codon recognition, and the 3' end, to which the tRNAs corresponding amino acid is attached (by aminoacyl-tRNA synthetases). tRNAs cope with the degeneracy of the genetic code in two manners: having more than one tRNA (with a specific anti-codon) for a particular amino acid; and 'wobble' base-pairing, i.e. permitting non-standard base-pairing at the 3rd anti-codon position. The record is from Rfam by way of RNAcentral. Lineage: Bacteria; Pseudomonadati; Planctomycetota; Phycisphaerae; Phycisphaerales; Phycisphaeraceae.